GACGAACGCUGGCGGCGUGCUUAACACAUGCAAGUCGUACGGUAAGGCCCUUUCGGGGGUACACGAGUGGCGCACGGGUGCGUAACACGUGAGUAACCUGCCCACAACUUUGGGAUAACGCUAGGAAACUGGUGCUAAUACUGGAUAUGUGCUCCUGCUGCAUGGUGGGGGUUGGAAAGCUCCGGCGGUUGUGGAUGGACUCGCGGCCUAUCAGCUUGUUGGUGGGGUAGUGGCCUACCAAGGCGGCGACGGGUAGCCGGCCUGAGAGGGUGACCGGCCACAUUGGGACUGAGAUACGGCCCAGACUCCUACGGGAGGCAGCAGUGGGGAAUAUUGCACAAUGGGCGCAAGCCUGAUGCAGCAACGCCGCGUGCGGGAUGACGGCCUUCGGGUUGGAAACCGCUUUCAGCAGGGACGAAGCUUUUUGUGACGGUACCUGCAGAAGAAGCACCGGCUAACUACGUG
Molecule: ribosomal RNA, 465 nt
Filed under: uncultured bacterium
Lineage: Bacteria
Description: partial 16S ribosomal RNA
Rfam family: Bacterial small subunit ribosomal RNA
Source: RNAcentral